AAAAUCGCAACAAAGAAACGGCAGAGAAAUAAUCCCACUGUAAUAUAAGUAAAAAAACAUUGAUAUGAAACCAAAAUAGAAAUGAAAAGGCAAAGACAGACAAAGACAAAGGUCGGGAUUCAUACCCCAAAAUUAGUCCCCGAUGAAGCAGGGGAUUUCAAAAACCACAAAAAACAGUGUAGCGAGUGUGUGUGUUUUGGCCUUUGGUUACCCAGAGCUAAAAAAAUGAGAGGAAAAAAAUUCAAAAGAGAUCGAGAGAGAGAAUCGAUAAAGAAAUGGGAGGAGAUUUGGGUUGAAGAGAUAUAUUUGAGGAUUUGUUAUGAAAGCAGAAGAAAUGAGGAAGAAAAUGAAAACAAAACAGGGAGACCGAGAGAGAUAGAAAGAAACGGCUAAUAAAUGGGUUUAUGUAGGGUUUAGGUUUCAAUUUGGGUUUUUAUUUGAGUUUUGGGUUCUGGUUUGAGAUUUCAAUUUUGAUUUUAGAUUAUUGAAAAUUUGUCGUCAGAAUUUUGACUCAUCACUUUAAUUUUUUUUACUUUUUUUAAAUUAAUUUCAUAUUUGACAAAAAUAAUUAUUUUUUAAACGGCUCAAUAAUUCCUACAAUAUCAAGCCAGCAAGAAAAAAGAGAUUGUAGGAAACCUCAGACAGCCAGUCGAGUUGACAUCAAAAUAAAUUAAAUAUUCAGUCGGUAAUUCCAACUAUAAUAAUGAAAUCCUCAUUGGCUUCCACAAUCCAUCCAUUUAUAAACUGUAAUCGCCGAAAACGGCUCCGUAGAUCACAAUGUUUCAGAUCCACUGGUUCCUAUCAGCAAGCGAAACAUGAAAUUUCUAUCGGUCCAAUCAUAGCAUCGCCGGUCACUGCUCUUGGCUACCGGCGACGUGGCAUCGGACCCAAAAAUGAUAGAUAAAAAAAAUCCAUUCAAAAGAAAACCCUCAGAGACCCAUUUCAAAUCACUCACACAGCGGAACACGCUUCGAGGAAGCACUCGCCUGAUUUCCCGGCCAACCAUCAAACACCUAAGAACAAAUAUCAGAGGGCUGAGAAUUGGCAGUUGGGAAGACGGGUAUGUUCCUUAGCGAGUUGCCGCCGCUGAUUAAAGUGUCAUACGGCACUUCCUAUCUAUGGGAAUUCUUCCUCACUGGGAUUUCAAACUAUAAAACACUUUUUCUUCUACAUUUCAAAACAAAUUUAAACCAAAACAAAAAAAAUACAAAAAUAAAGAGUAAAAAGGAGAGUUCCGCAGAUAAACCCUAGAAUGACUUGUUCUUUUUAUUAUAUGGCGGAGAAACUUAGUAGGAUUUUAUAAAGAGCAACGGUGUUUAAAGAAACCCUAGAUCUCUAAAUUGGAAAUUUUAGAGAGAUUGAAAUUCAUCAAAUUGGGCUUAUUUUGGUGAUUUUAAAUAAACCGAAAGGGAUUUUCAAGGCCCAAAAUGCUUGAUGUAGGAUGCUCCUACAAACUCCAUAUGCCUAAGCUAUUGGUUUUAUUAAUCUGUUUCCAUCCAUUUUAAAAUAUAUAUAUUUAAUCUAUAAAUAUCAGAAUGUAAAAAUGAAUUAAAACAUAAUGAAAAUAUUUAUAAAAAAAAAUUGUUAAAAACAUUAUUAAAAGAAUUCAAAAUUUGCUCAGUUAUCCCUAAAUUUGACAUCCUACUUUUGGUUGAAAACAAUUUGGAGUAAUUCCGAGUAUAUUAAACCUUCACCGGCCAAUUCAAUCCCAAACUAGUUUAAUCCUUAUCAAAUAAUAUGAUAUUAUUAUUCAUGUCUUAUUCGAUUACUUUAUAAAAAAAAACUAAAUCCAAACGCUUAUAAAAAUUUAUAAAUUUAAUCCUCAAAUUGGUACUUAAAUUAUAUAUUUUUUCUCAUCUUUAUACCUAAUCUUUUUAUUUUAUUUUCAUCAAUAAAAUAAAAUAUUUAGAGAGGUUGAGUAAUUGGUUUCAUUAUUAUUAGGGGAGGGAACGGGCCUAUAUCCCUUUAGCGGAAUAAGAACAAAAAUUAACACAAGGAGGAAGAAAAAAUAUAAAACUAGAUCUUAAAUUCGAACUGCAGAAUAAGAACGAAUAUUAACACCAGUAAACUUAAAAAAUCCGAACCAGAUUCAAAAUAUUUUACUAAGAAAAAAAAUAAAACGAAUAAAAAUAGUAAUUUCUAAACCUGAAAACCAAAAACCAUAAAAUAAACCAAGAAAUAGAAAUAAAAAAGCAUAAUUCUUAAAUUAAAAACAGAAAACAGAAAAUACAAUGUUGAAGCAAUGAUUCGUACCUUAUGAAGCAAGGGAUUCCAAAAAUCUCAAAAAACAGAAACGGCACAAUGUCUUUGCAGUCCUUUAGGCGUCGGUUACAAAAAAGUUAAAAAACAUUAAAAGGAAAAUUUUAAAAUGAGACAGACAAAAUAAAAGAAAGAGUAAAGGGAAAAAAAAUGGUUAGAAAAAAAAAGGAAAAUGAAAAGAGAAUAAACUAUUAAAAAAUACCUAUUAUCACAAGUCACAUUAACUGAGACUCCAAAAUCAUGCCAAUUCUCCCAGCCCAAAAAACUAGGACCAUUAUCUCGAAUAGCAAAAAACCAAUGACCCAAUAGAACUAGAACAAAACGAACAAAAAGCCAAUCCAAAAAAAACGAAACCUUCCCAUCUAAACAAACUACCCAAAACAGGAAUGAAAAUGCAAAAAGAUAAAUGAUAAGCAAAAAAACACAUAAUAGUCGAUAAAUUGACUAAAGUACAACUAUACAAACAUCAACAGAUUUGAAAAGAUGAACCAAAACAAUUUUUCAUAACGUUGAGAACCAAAAUAGUUGCUGGGAAUUGAGAUGUUUUAAUAAUUCAACUAAUCCUUUAAUAACCAAUCCUUCACAUUUUAAGUAAAUAUAUCUUUAAUAAAAAUUAAACUCUCCAUCACUAAUUUCUAAUUUGUAUAUUAUACAUCGCAAAUAUAAUUAUUCUCUUCAUAAAAUCCGUUCCAUAAAAUAGAGGAUUAUCAAAAAUAUAUAUAUCUGCUCAGAAGACACGAAUUUUCUUCUCAUAGAUUUUUAAAAAAAUCUCUGAAGUCUGACAUGUGAAUUUAUUUCAUAAUUCAUCACAGCAGAAGUUUUAGAAUAAAGCAUUUUAACAAAAGAUCAAAUCAAAACAAUGUUCAAAAUUAGCUCUCAUUCUUUCUCUCAAAAUUUCUGCUCAUUUCUGCAAAUCAAUAUUGCCCAUAUUAGGCUCAAUAAUCAUAGAGCUAAUCAAAUUAAUUUCUCAACUUGGAUACACAAAUUGAAACUUCUAAUCCAAAAAUAGAAAAAAUAUUGCAAGUUGAAUUUUGAGAUCAGAGUUUGGUAAAAAAAUUUGUCUGUCACUGUUGAAUCAGAAACACGGACCAAUUAAACCUCAUCAAAUCUCAAAAUUUUAAAGAAAUUUACAACCAAAAAAAUGGAGAAUUUUUUAAUAAAUUUCAAUAAAUAAAUAAAACAAAGGAAUGAUCAUCAGACUUAAAUACAAGUAAUCAUGGAAUAAAUCCAUUCAUAUUGUUGCAGUUUUUUUUUCUCAUCAACUGAUCGAUGACAAAUACAAUACGAAGGAAAGAAAUUUUCGGGGAAAUGAAAGCCAUAAACCAUAGAUCUGAAAGCUGAAAGGAAACGAAAUGAAACCUAGUUGUGAAGAAGAGGGGAAGGUGGCGAAAGUCUGGGUUUUCAUGGUAUUUAUAGAUCUAAUUGGGGAGGUCGCGCUAUAAACACUAGAUUGCAACGGCGGCGUUUACCACUGGGACUAGAGAAUUGAAAUGGGCUGAAUUGCUUAAUAAUUGAACCAUAGACAUUACAUUUAUAAUUGUUGAUAGUUCAUCUUCGACCAUUCUCCAAUCAGCUUUUAGCUUAUGAACCACAGUUUAAGCAUAAGGCAACCACUAAGUAGCUUAUUAACAAAUUAAAAGCUAAAAAAUUAAAUAUAAAUUGAAAUAAUAGUUUUUCCUUAAAUCUUUUUGCAAUAUUUCAGAAAAGAAAUUAAAAGAAAGAGGAAAAAGAACCUGGAGUUGAGAAGAGGGUUUGGUUUUCAAAUACAAACAAUCCCAUAGAGCACUCCAUUUUCCAUAGCAGUUAUCCAAAACUACUCCUCUAUAAUACUGUUGCAAUUGAUGAACCGGAGCUGCCCAACGAAUUAUUGAAUCAAUUCAUAUAAAAAGUUGAAAUUGGUAAAAAAAAAAAAUAGAAAAUAGAGAGAGGGUGGAAUACAAUAGCAAAACCAGAGAGCAUCGAAGCAUUUAGUGCAGGACAAGAACCCGAUCCAAAAACCACGAAACCAUCCCAUCUAAACAAACCACCCCAAAACAGGAAUGAAAAGGCAAAAAGAAAAAUGAUAAGCAAAAAAAUACAUAGUAGUCGAUAAACUGACUAAAGAACAACGAUACAAACAUCAACAGAUUUGGAAGGACAAACCAAAACAGUUUUUCUUAAAGCUGAGAACCAAAACUUUAACACUUCAGUUUACAGCAUUUAAACACUUCAAUUUGCAGCACUUUAACAUCUCAAUUAACAACAUUUAUACACCUCUAUCACAGCAAUAAAACAUCUCAUUUUCUAGCAACUAAACACUCGCUUUGGAUUUCACUCAAUAAUAUACUCCAAUGGACAUAUUAUAACGAGUCACUGGUUAGCCAUUUCAAGUUUCAAGAAUUCAAUAUUGUUUGGGACAUUUCGUCAAACAAUUCAUGAGUGUCCAAAUACCUAGAAGCACUGAAAGCCAAAGGAAGCGGGAAAGUACUAUAAAUGCAAAGGACAAAAAGCAAUAGAGAAAAAAAUCAAUGCCCUUGGAAACAACAGCGAAAACCUACUGCUCAUUCUUUAGCAUUUUUUUUCAGUCUCAUAAAAACCAUCAACUCAAUUUCCCUUCAUGUAAGGCUAGGUAACACGGAUGAAUAUAACCCUUUAUCUUUAACCAAAAUCCGAGUAUUUCACCACAUGUAUAUCAAUAAUCACAAAAAACUUCCUAUUCAGCUGAUAUACAGAGAUACCAUGGGUUUACCAAAAACUUCCAAUCAAAAUCCAUUCGCACAUCAUACCCAACAGAACACGAACAAUCCCAACUAUUUUAAAGAAAAUAUACCCAAUCCUUACUAAUAAAUGCAAGCACCUAGCAGUAUGAAAAAGAAAACAUAUAUGCAUACACGAAUCUUGACAAUCUCCACCGUAUAUGAUCAUGAAACCCAAAUCCAAAAAAAACCUUUGCAAUUAGCAAAUCGGUUGAAAUUCUACAAUUCUUCAAUCACUAUCAAUACUAACAAGCAUCCCAAUUAGAUUAUUAUUAUUUUUUAAAACUAAAGUACAUAUUUUUUAAAACUAAAGUACAUAUCAAGAAACAGAAUGUCCCAGUCUGGAAUCCUAUAUGCCGGUUUGGAUCGUUUAGUGGGUACUUCGCAUUUCUAUAAAGAAUGGAAAACUAUUGAAAUAAUUAUAUAUGCAUUAUUUAAAUUUCUGCAAAACAAUUAAUUAAAAUAUUUCUAAAAAUAUUCUUAUAAAUAUUAAAUUGGAUCCGACCUGGUUUAUCAUUUAAUAUAAAGGGGUUAAUAUAAAGAACAGUUCGGUGAUUGUAAACUUUAUUGAAAAAACAAUAAUUAAAUCCAAAUAAUAUUUGUUCAUGUAUCUGUCGUUUUUUUUAAACACCUACCUUUUUUAAUUUAGGUCACCUAUUUAGAAAAUCCUAAUAAUAACCAACUGAUAUAGCAUAAAACAACCACAAAGUAACUCACAGACCACAUCAAUAAAUUUCAAACACACAGCAAAAAAAAAACACAAGUAAAAAAGCAUAAUUCUUAAAUUAAAACAGAGAAAGCCGAAGAUAAUGUUGAAGCAAAGAUUCAUACCUGAAAUCAGUCUUCGAUGAAGCAGGGGUUACAAAAAUCGCAACAAAGAAACGGCAGAGAAAUAAUCCCACUGUAAUAUAAGUAAAAAAACAUUGAUAUGAAACCAAAAUAGAAAUGAAAAGGCAAAGACAGACAAAGACAAAGGUCGGGAUUCAUACCCCAAAAUUAGUCCCCGAUGAAGCAGGGGAUUUCAAAAACCACAAAAAACAGUGUAGCGAGUGUGUGUGUUUUGGCCUUUGGUUACCCAGAGCUAAAAAAAUGAGAGGAAAAAAAUUCAAAAGAGAUCGAGAGAGAGAAUCGAUAAAGAAAUGGGAGGAGAUUUGGGUUGAAGAGAUAUAUUUGAGGAUUUGUUAUGAAAGCAGAAGAAAUGAGGAAGAAAAUGAAAACAAAACAGGGAGACCGAGAGAGAUAGAAAGAAACGGCUAAUAAAUGGGUUUAUGUAGGGUUUAGGUUUCAAUUUGGGUUUUUAUUUGAGUUUUGGGUUCUGGUUUGAGAUUUCAAUUUUGAUUUUAGAUUAUUGAAAAUUUGUCGUCAGAAUUUUGACUCAUCACUUUAAUUUUUUUUACUUUUUUUAAAUUAAUUUCAUAUUUGACAAAAAUAAUUAUUUUUUAAACGGCUCAAUAAUUCCUACAAUAUCAAGCCAGCAAGAAAAAAGAGAUUGUAGGAAACCUCAGACAGCCAGUCGAGUUGACAUCAAAAUAAAUUAAAUAUUCAGUCGGUAAUUCCAACUAUAAUAAUGAAAUCCUCAUUGGCUUCCACAAUCCAUCCAUUUAUAAACUGUAAUCGCCGAAAACGGCUCCGUAGAUCACAAUGUUUCAGAUCCACUGGUUCCUAUCAGCAAGCGAAACAUGAAAUUUCUAUCGGUCCAAUCAUAGCAUCGCCGGUCACUGCUCUUGGCUACCGGCGACGUGGCAUCGGACCCAAAAAUGAUAGAUAAAAAAAAUCCAUUCAAAAGAAAACCCUCAGAGACCCAUUUCAAAUCACUCACACAGCGGAACACGCUUCGAGGAAGCACUCGCCUGAUUUCCCGGCCAACCAUCAAACACCUAAGAACAAAUAUCAGAGGGCUGAGAAUUGGCAGUUGGGAAGACGGGUAUGUUCCUUAGCGAGUUGCCGCCGCUGAUUAAAGUGUCAUACGGCACUUCCUAUCUAUGGGAAUUCUUCCUCACUGGGAUUUCAAACUAUAAAACACUUUUUCUUCUACAUUUC
This 7034-nucleotide long non-coding RNA is filed under the name Gossypium barbadense (sea-island cotton). RNAcentral's name for it is "long non-coding RNA (GBAR_LNC002793)". Lineage: Eukaryota; Viridiplantae; Streptophyta; Magnoliopsida; Malvales; Malvaceae. The record is from RNAcentral.